GAGAAGGUGGUCGAGUGGUUUAAAACAACGGUUUGCUAAAUCGUCACAUAGUAAAUAAUUUAUGUCAUGGGUUCGAAUCCCAUUCUUCUCA
This 91-nucleotide transfer RNA is filed under the name Mimica arnoldii. RNAcentral describes it as "tRNA-Ser". It matches the Rfam family "tRNA". Rfam says of the family: Transfer RNA (tRNA) molecules are approximately 80 nucleotides in length. Their secondary structure includes four short double-helical elements and three loops (D, anti-codon, and T loops). Further hydrogen bonds mediate the characteristic L-shaped molecular structure. tRNAs have two regions of fundamental functional importance: the anti-codon, which is responsible for specific mRNA codon recognition, and the 3' end, to which the tRNAs corresponding amino acid is attached (by aminoacyl-tRNA synthetases). tRNAs cope with the degeneracy of the genetic code in two manners: having more than one tRNA (with a specific anti-codon) for a particular amino acid; and 'wobble' base-pairing, i.e. permitting non-standard base-pairing at the 3rd anti-codon position. The record is from RNAcentral. Lineage: Eukaryota; Rhodophyta; Florideophyceae; Gigartinales; Solieriaceae.